GAGUUUGAACCUGGCUCAGGAUGAACGCUGGCGGCGUGCCUAAUACAUGCAAGUCGAGCGAACCACUUCGGUGGUGAGCGGCGAACGGGUGAGUAACACGUAGGUGAUCUGCCCAUCAGACGGGGACAACGAUUGGAAACGAUCGCUAAUACCGGAUAGGACGAAAGUUUAAAGGUGCUUCUGACACCGCUGAUGGAUGAGCCUGCGGCGCAUUAGCUAGUUGGUAGGGUAAAGGCCUACCAAGGCGACGAUGCGUAGCCGACCUGAGAGGGUGAACGGCCACACUGGGACUGAGACACGGCCCAGACUCCUACGGGAGGCAGCAGUAGGGAAUCUUCGGCAAUGGGCGAAAGCCUGACCGAGCAACGCCGCGUGAAUGAUGAAGGCCUUCGGGUUGUAAAAUUCUGUUAUAAGGGAAGAACGACUUUAGUAGGAAAUGGCUAGAGUGUGACGGUACCUUAUGAGAAAGCCACGGCUAACUACGUGCCAGCAGCCGCGGUAAUACGUAGGUGGCGAGCGUUAUCCGGAAUUAUUGGGCGUAAAGAGCGCGCAGGUGGUUGAUUAAGUCUGAUGUGAAAGCCCACGGCUUAACCGUGGAGGGUCAUUGGAAACUGGUCGACUUGAGUGCAGAAGAGGGAAGUGGAAUUCCAUGUGUAGCGGUGAAAUGCGUAGAGAUAUGGAGGAACACCAGUGGCGAA
Molecule: ribosomal RNA, 698 nt
Filed under: uncultured bacterium
Lineage: Bacteria
Description: bacterial SSU rRNA
Rfam family: Bacterial small subunit ribosomal RNA
Source: RNAcentral